Molecule: ribosomal RNA, 254 nt
Filed under: uncultured bacterium
Lineage: Bacteria
Description: partial 16S ribosomal RNA
Rfam family: Bacterial small subunit ribosomal RNA
Source: RNAcentral
UACAGAGGGGGCAAGCGUUGUUCGGAAUUACUGGGCGUAAAGGGCGCGUAGGCGGCCUUCUAAGUCGAACGUGAAAUCCCCGGGCUCAACCCGGGAACUGCGUCCGAUACUGGAAGGCUUGAAUCCGGGAGAGGGAUGCAGAAUUCCAGGUGUAGCGGUGAAAUGCGUAGAUAUCUGGAGGAAUACCGGUGGCGAAGGCGGCAUCCUGGACCGGCAUUGACGCUGAGUGAGCGAAAGCCAGGGGAGCAAACAGG